CCUGGCUAGGACGAACGCUGGCGGCGUGCCUAACACAUGCAAGUCGAACGGACGAGGGGAGCUUGCUCCCAAGUAGUGGCGGACGGGUGAGUAACACGUGAGCAACCUGCCUUCGAGGGGACAACAGCCGGAAACGGCUGCUAAUACCGCAUGACAUAUCCUUGAGGCAUCUCGGGGAUAUCAAAGAUUUAUCGCCGAAGGAUGGGCUCGCGUCUGAUUAGCUGGUUGGUGAGGUAACGGCUCACCAAGGCGACGAUCAGUAGCCGGACUGAGAGGUUGAACGGCCACAUUGGGACUGAGAUACGGCCCAGACUCCUACGGGAGGCAGCAGUGGGGAAUAUUGGGCAAUGGGGGGCAACCCUGACCCAGCAACGCCGCGUGAAGGAAGAAGGCUUUCGGGUUGUAAACUUCUUUGACGAGGGACGAUAAUGACGGUACCUCGAAAACAAGCCACGGCUAACUACGUGCCAGCAGCCGC
This 478-nucleotide ribosomal RNA is filed under the name uncultured bacterium. RNAcentral's name for it is "bacterial SSU rRNA". It matches the Rfam family "Bacterial small subunit ribosomal RNA", at positions 18 to 518 of the family's 1533-position model. The record is from RNAcentral.